This 74-nucleotide transfer RNA is filed under the name Candidatus Woesebacteria bacterium. RNAcentral describes it as "tRNA-Arg". It matches the Rfam family "tRNA". Rfam says of the family: Transfer RNA (tRNA) molecules are approximately 80 nucleotides in length. Their secondary structure includes four short double-helical elements and three loops (D, anti-codon, and T loops). The record is from RNAcentral. Lineage: Bacteria; Candidatus Woeseibacteriota.
GCACCCGUAGCUCAGUUGGAUAGAGCACCAGUUUGCGGAACUGGUGGUCGUGCGUUCGAAUCGCGCCGGGUGCA